UAACUGAAGAGUUUGAUCAUGGCUCAGAUUGAACGCUGGCGGCAGGCUUAACACAUGCAAGUCGAGCGGGGGAAGGUAGCUUGCUACUGGACCUAGCGGCGGACGGGUGAGUAAUGCUUAGGAAUCUGCCUAUUAGUGGGGGACAACAUCUCGAAAGGGAUGCUAAUACCGCAUACGUCCUACGGGAGAAAGCAGGGGAUCUUCGGACCUUGCGCUAAUAGAUGAGCCUAAGUCGGAUUAGCUAGUUGGUGGGGUAAAGGCCUACCAAGGCGACGAUCUGUAGCGGGUCUGAGAGGAUGAUCCGCCACACUGGGACUGAGACACGGCCCAGACU
RNAcentral lists this ribosomal RNA (334 nucleotides) under Acinetobacter baumannii. RNAcentral describes it as "bacterial SSU rRNA". It matches the Rfam family "Bacterial small subunit ribosomal RNA", at positions 1 to 337 of the family's 1533-position model. Lineage: Bacteria; Pseudomonadati; Pseudomonadota; Gammaproteobacteria; Moraxellales; Moraxellaceae. The record is from RNAcentral.